CCCCUUUCUUCGUCACGUCCUCUUUCAAUUUGGUGUCUUCGCUGUAGAGACACAUCUCCACAAGAUGAGAGCAAAGUGGAGGAAGAAGCGUAUGCGCAGGUAAGGAUCACUUCCUUUUAGGAUUUAUCUGAAUGUUGAUGUUGCUUUGUAGUUUCGUUCAGAUAAGCAUGGUACUCCAGUCUUGUUAACAUGGACGCAGCACACAUUUGCGAUAAACUAUCAACUACAAUAGAUUUGACAACCAUGCAUAUGACUUUUUUUUUUUAAGGCUCAUAAUAGUUCAGUCCAGGAUUAAUGUUUUCAUUUGGGGUGGCGGGUAGCCAAGUGGUUAGAAAAUUGGGCCAGUAACCACAAUGUUGCUGGAUCGAAUCCCCGAGGUGACAACUUAAAUCUGUUCCCCAGAACAAGGCAGUUAACUACCGGGGACCGUGUGUCAUUGUAAAUAAGAAUUUGUUCUUAACUGACUUGCCUAGUUAAAUAAACGUUACAUUUUAAAUACUAAAUGAGCACACAGCAAUGGUGGGAUUAAUGCUAAUCAUUGUAGGGACUUUUACAAACUGACAUGCUGUGUUUGGUAUGUAAUGAUGCAGCUCUGGUCACUAAUUGACACUUUCUGGUCUUUGUAGGCUGAAGCGUAAAAGGCGAAAGAUGAGGCAGAGGUCCAAGUAGACUGGCCCAUUCCCCUACUGCUGUGAUUGUUUUUCCCCACCCACUCCAAGCCCCCUGUUUGAAGCCAGCGGUCCAUGAUUUGCAAAGAGCUGAACCAUGGUUGUCUGAAGCCGGUCUCAUUGGUGUGAAGGACGGAUCCCGCAUACCCAGCCCUCUACUCUGCCAAUGGCACCUGGCUGUUGACUACUGCUAGAAUCUCUCCUGUUGUUGGACUCUGGCCUUUUACCACCUGCACAGCUGAUUUGUUGUGAAGACCAUAAUAAAUAUUUGGUUUACUAACUACAUUA
Molecule: long non-coding RNA, 956 nt
Filed under: Salmo salar (Atlantic salmon)
Lineage: Eukaryota; Metazoa; Chordata; Actinopteri; Salmoniformes; Salmonidae
Description: lncRNA (ENSSSAG00000096312.1)
Source: RNAcentral